Molecule: long non-coding RNA, 2352 nt
Filed under: Anas platyrhynchos platyrhynchos (common mallard)
Lineage: Eukaryota; Metazoa; Chordata; Aves; Anseriformes; Anatidae
Description: lncRNA (ENSAPLG00000019566.1)
Source: RNAcentral
UUGGGCUCUUCCUCGAGGCUCUGCGCAGAAGGGCUGCCACCUCUCGCACAAGGGCUGCCGGAUGGGAAAGAAGCACUCACACAACCCCUGACAAUUGGCAAAGGUCUUUAUUGCCACGUGGCUCCAGGCUAAUGCCUGGAGUGGAGCCUGAGCGAUGACGAAUAGGGAGCUUGCCGAGCCCUUCUGCACAGCUGACGGUGUUCCUUGAGGACACUUUUCAGAGAGCUGCCAGGGGACUCCCAUGUUUGUUGUGGCCGAGGUGGGUCCACUUCCAUCGCUUCCUCUUCAUCUUGUGCACCCACCUCCAUGGGCUCCGCGGGUUGGAGGACGAGCCAGUCCCUGGCAGGGACUGCCCACACAGGCUGCCAUCCAUUGGGCAUAUUUUCCGGCCACGGUGCCGCACCAGGACGCCUCCCAGCUCCGUGCCUCGGGGCCAUUCCGUUCUCCGCUUGAUUUUCACUCACGGAAUUCCUGACGGCAUCUCUCCCUUGGCCACGGCUGGUUCCUGCGUCAUAUUCCGUCCGCUGGGCACGGCUCCGCUUCCCGUGGCCCUCCAACCCACGCUCUCUCUCUUUGCUGUCCUCACUGGACCUCCGGCUAGGCCCAGGUCUGCUGUUGGUGUGCAUCCGAGGGGCCGGUCUGCUCCCCACAUCGCUUCGGCUCCAAUGAUAUUUAUCAUAAUAGCCUCUGGGCCGGGCACCAGACACCUCCUGGGCACUGAUGGUUCUUGUGCUGGAGGCGCUGGCCCUCGACCCAUGGCGCAUUCUCGCAGAGCCAGACAUCCUUCUCAGUGGUCCCAGGAACAAUUUCUUGUCCUCGCACUGAGAAGGGCUGCUGCUCGCCUCUCUCACUUUGCUCCUAACUCUGGCCUUCCUUCAGCCGCCGGCUUUCAGAAGACCAAAUCGCUGAGCAAGUGGCGGGCCAGUGGCAGGGGGGCCCCUUUUAUAGGGCCCAGGCCAAGGGCGGGCCUGCUGGUGGCCACUGUGACCUCGGCAAAGCUCUGUGAUGGAGCGGCCCGUGCGAGGCUGAAGGCGGCUGCCUUGGGAGAGGCCCGGAAGAUGCACUCAUGUGGAGCAAGGACGAGGGUUGGGGGGGCUGAGGGCCUCCUUUUCUGGGUCUGGCUGGCCCCCAGGCCGUUUGGCUUGCCAGAGAGAAAGGCUGCCCCAUGAAACCCUGCCUCGACCCGUUUUUUCUCCAGAUCUCCAAGGGCCAGAGUCUCUCGUUAACAAAAAGAAAACCCCACCAACAAAACCAAAACAGACCAAUUCACAAGGCUAACGCAGUCAAAACCGAAGUACCGAUCACAGAAUCACAGAAUUUCUAGCUUGGAAGAGACCUCAAGAUCAUCGAGUCCAAACUCUGACCUAACACUAACAAGUCCUCCACUAAACCAUAUCCCUAAGCUCUACAUCUAAACGUCUUUUAAAGACCUCCAGGGAUGGGGACUCCACCACCUCCCUGGGCAGCCUGUUCCAGUGUCUAACAACCCUUUCAGUAAAGAAGUUCUUCCUAACAUCCAACCUAAAUCUCCCCUGGCGCAACUUAAGCUCAUUCCCCCUCUUCCUGUCACCAGGCACGUGGGAGAACAGACCAACCCCACCUCGCUACAGCCUCCUUUGAGGUACCUGUAGAGAGCAAUAAGGUCGCCCCUGAGCCUCCUUUUCUCCAGGCUGAACAAGCCCAGCUCCCUCAGCCGCUCCUCAUAGGACUUGUUCUCCAGGCCCCUCACCAGCUUCGUCACCCUUCUCUGGACCCACUCAAGCACCUCCAUGUCCUUCUUGUAGCGAGGGGCAACAUCAUACAUGUGUGUGUGUGUGUGUGUGUGUGUGUAUCUACCUCUGUUGUUUCACUUUCUAAGUUGAAAUUUUAAAACAUUUCAGUCAUCAGUUGAAAACCAUUGUUGCCUGACAGAAAACAUCAUAUGACAAAGGAAAAUUCCUAUCUGAAAAGGCAAAGUAGUUAAAUUUACAGUGGUGCUAUAGUACUGUAUCUUUGAUGUAACACUGAAGUGCAAUGUUAAAAUCUUUCAGAUUAACUGAGAUGAAAGUUUACAUUUCCCCAUAGGCUUUUAAAGAAAUUAAAAAGAGGAGAAACCUAAGCACAUGUAAUGCUUUAGGAUUCAAAAAAGUUGCUUCUUCUAGAUCACCUCUUAUAAGUAAAUUAUGGUAGGCAGGUCUCAACUUUUAACUUUUCUAACUGUACUUCAAUUUCAGUAUUUUUUAUUAAAUUAGUUCCAAUUUGUAUUUACUAUGUAUUUAUAUUCUUUCUUAUUGCUCAAACACAUUUUUACUGCCCCUUUGUUAUCUACAAGAAACAGACAGAAGAAUAAAAACUAUUGCUACAAAAAUUUCA